RNAcentral lists this long non-coding RNA (674 nucleotides) under Anser brachyrhynchus (Pink-footed goose). Its description in RNAcentral is "lncRNA (ENSABRG00000019715.1)". Lineage: Eukaryota; Metazoa; Chordata; Aves; Anseriformes; Anatidae. The record is from RNAcentral.
AUGCUGCCCCUCAGUUUGGUGCUGGGACCAGCCCUGGCCUGUGCCUCUCCUUGCUCCAGGCUUGGUCUCUCCUGGACUCCCCAGAGCUGUGGCUUGUGUCUGAAGUGCUUUGUCAGUGGAGAAAACUUCUCCGUUUCUCAUCAGAGUACAUCAAAUACAGCACUCCUGCUAGAAGCAACCUUCCAAAGCAAUAUGAAAUCCGGCUUAUUUGAGAGAAAGAAAAAGUAGAAAUCCUCACAUAUGCUAAACCUGUGAAGUGGGAGUGAGAGUUGUGUGAGGAGGGGCAGCGACCUGAUGGUGAUUCCAGCACUGCCACCUGCGGGGCAGGCUGGCAGCAGGACUUCUCACGGGGUGUGGAUGUGGGCUCACCGCAUUGCAGACCAGGGCCAGAGUGGAGGAAAAGACAUGAGCAUGACUUCUGUGCUAAAUGAGUUUGAGAUCUGGAAAUGCUAUAAUUGUUAUUGUAAAAGUUUCUGCUUAUGUGCCACCAUCACAGUAGGUGAAUACACAUCUGCCUAAGCCUUUAAAACAGCUAAUCCAAGCCUUGUCUGCUCUCUUCUCUUUCCUUCUUCAUUAAGCUGCUCGGUCACCUCACCCCGUAUUCUUUCUUGCACUGGAAACUUUCAGGUGCAAAAAGAAAUAAAACCAUAAUCACGACAAGGUUGAGAAAAAAC